GUUGAGCCGAAGAUAGAUCAGAAGAAAAGAAAUCAAACAUAACAUCCUUACCAACAUGCCAUUGGCUAACAAGAAACUUUUUGGAAUUUAAGUCAUUCAUUGCAUGACUUUGAUGCUUCAUCGUAAAGUAAGGCUGAGAAAUUAACUCCUUCCAAGAUUUAAAUCGAAGAAGAGACCGCACAGAUAACCUCUUGAGGAUGUUUACAAUGAUUUCUUUCUUGGAAGUGAAUUCGUUCGAUUCUUAAACAAUGGCAAGGCCCACGUGAAAGAUAACUAACCUGAUGAUUAUCAACAUCCAUCAG
RNAcentral lists this unclassified non-coding RNA (302 nucleotides) under Hevea brasiliensis (rubber tree). Lineage: Eukaryota; Viridiplantae; Streptophyta; Magnoliopsida; Malpighiales; Euphorbiaceae. The record is from RNAcentral.